AGGAUGAACGCUGGCGGUGUGCCUAAUACAUGCAAGUCGAACGAGAUCUUCGGAUCUAGUGGCGGACGGGUGAGUAACACGUUGGUACCUACCCCUAAGUGGGGAAUAACUGCCCGAAAGGGUGGCUAAUACCGCAUAAUCCCGCAAGGGUAAAGCAGUAAUGCGCUUAGGGAGGGGCCUGCGUCUGAUUAGCUAGUUGGUAGGGUAAAAGCCUACCAAGGCGACGAUCAGUAGCUGGUUCGAGAGGAUGACCAGCCACACUGGGACUGAGAUACGGCCCAGACUCCUACGGGAGGCAGCAGUUGGGAAUCUUGGACAAUGGGGGAAACCCUGAUCCAGCCAUGCCGCGUGAGUGAUGAAGGCCUUCGGGUUGUAAAACUCUUUCGACGGGGACGAUAAUGACGGUACCGUAGAAGAGCUCGGCUAACUCGUGCCAGCAGCCGC
Molecule: ribosomal RNA, 444 nt
Filed under: uncultured bacterium
Lineage: Bacteria
Description: SSU rRNA
Rfam family: Bacterial small subunit ribosomal RNA
Source: RNAcentral